CCCCUGAAUAUCUUUUUAUGGUGAGGUUUUUCGAUAAAACUUUCAAAACAAAAGUUGUAGGAUUUCAGAAGUUGAAUCUGAUGGUGACCAUAAAAUUGAUCUGAAGGUCAUUUCGAGGUCAGCUUAAUUUAAAAACCGUGAAGUUUGAAAGUCAUUUUAAGAUCAAAGCGAGCAUUUUCUGAAAAAUGUUUCAGACAAAAGCUUCUCAGUUUUUAGCGUAGAUCCCGAAUCUGUCAUGAAAAUAUGCAUGUUCUAUUUGAAAAAAUAAAGUUGACCUUGAAAUGGCCUUCAGGGUCAAACUUAAGGUCAAUUUUAAGGUCACUAUCACAUUCAGCUUCUGAAGUUCUAUAACUUUUGUUUUGAAAGUUUUAUCGAAAGACCUCACUAUAAAAAAAUAUUUAGGGGUUCCCUUAUUUUUAAGACAUCCUGUAUAAUACGCUCUUGAUAAGAGCAGUGUACGAUACGGUAUGUAAAAAUCGCCAUUUCGAGAAACCAAUACGGUCAGAAUUUCAGACACAGAUGAGAGUCACUGCGCGUAGCAAAGGAGAGAAACUACAGCAGGACAAGUGGCUCAAGAACACGGGAUGAAGAAGCGCGAAGAACAAAUGGAUGGACGACGAAGCAGACGACGACGAGGACAACGUUUGAGCAUGAUAUUACAAAUAACAUGAUAUUUAGAUAAGUAAAAAUUGUCCAUGUCCGAACAUGUACCUGAAGCAGAAUGAUUAGGUACAUGUUGAGGCAUUGAUGCUUUUAUGUUUAAAAGUGUAUGAUAUAUUGUUUCCAAUAAUACUUAAUUACUAUUGAUUUAUUUUAUUCUAUUAAUACUAUCUUCACAGGAUCACUCUCAGCGCAGCCCAGCGGCCUAUGACCAGGAAGAAGAGGAAGAAGACCAAGAAGGAGGACUUACUUUCCAUUGGAGGGAAAGGGGGGAGGAGGAGGAGGAGUAGAAACCAUAGAUAGUUUCCGUCUGCGGUGGUUUUUGCAGACGAAUCGGUACUUUUCAGUGCCACUUAUUUUUAUUAUCUAAGACGUGGAAACCUAAUAUUCGCAAUUAAUGUGUGUGCGUGUGGUGUGGUGUGCAGUGGUGUGUGUGUGUGUGUGUGUGUGUGUGUGUGUGUGUGUGUGUGUGUGUGUGUGUGUGUGAGGAUGUGUUAUUACUUAUUUAUACAGUAUCUGGUGGCAUAAAAGAAACCAAACGGACUGUGAGAAACUCUCGUACUGAAACUAGAGAAAUUGUCAUUGGCCUUUAAUGAAGCUUUCAAAAAGAUGUCUUAAAUAGAUUAAAAGAUAUUCCAUUUAUUGCAAAACAUCCAGUACUGAAACUAGAGAAAUUGUCAUUGGCCAUUAAUGAAGCUUUCAAAAAGAUGUCUUAAAUAGAUUAAAAGAUAUUCCAUUUAUUGCAAAACAUCCAGUACUGAAACUAGAGAAAUUGUCAUUGGCCAUUAAUGAAGCUUUCAAAAAGAUGUCUUAAAUAGAUUAAAAGAUAUUCCAUUUACUGCAAAACAUCCAGCAAAAGGAUUAAGUGAGGGAAACAUAUGAAGUGCAGUAAAACAACAUGUUCAUAUAGGUAACUCUGACAGGAAAGCAGGUCAAGUAUACAGUUUACAGGACAUAUCAUGCUUUGAUACUGCUCAAAUUAUGCCCAGCAUAGUAUGCAGCAUACAUUUAGCAAAGCCUGACAUUAGUAGGCUUGGCUAUUUGGGAAGCAGUCAAUAUAUCAAAAUAUGUCUAUAUGAAAUGAGUAUAUCGCCAUUAUAACCAUGACUUUAUACUAACUUUUUAUAAUUUAAAUAUAGAUUGAGAAACUGGAUAGAAUAUAUAUUUUUGGUAUUCCACGUUACGUUAUAUUACGAAGGAACAUAGAGGUUCUGUGACAAAGGUAAUUAAAUCAGAUUAUUGAACAAUAAGUACAGAAACAAUCCAGAUGGCCAAGCCUGCUAAAGUCAGGCUUUGCUAAAUGUAUGCUGUAUACUAUGCUGGCAUAAUUUGGACAGUAUCAAAGCAUGAUCUGUCGUAUCAGAGAGUAUCAAAGAGUAUCAGACACGUAGAAAUGAAACAGAAAUCUAACAGAACCUGCGUCAUGAUAUGAUAGUAGAAAUACUACAAGAAUAAAGUACAAUAUGUCAACACAGGAAAAGAAAAAUUUAAUAUGUCGACAAGAAGCAGCAUAAAAUCGAACAUGGAAUAACGAUAAUUAGAUAAAUUAUGAUAAUUAGAUAAAUUAUGAUAAAAUUGUACAGCAUAUAAAAUGACAUUUAUAUAUACAUAAUAAAUUUCCCAACUCAGCAAACACAAAAUAACAAUAACAUAAUUGUGCGUUAUAAUUUCCCUUUCAACCAUGUAACUGUUUACACGGUCGAGUGGAAAAUUAUAACUGACAGUUUUAUUAUUAUUACUUUGAGUUUACCAGGAGUUUAUUCAAUAAAUUUAUUGUAUAUCUUUAUAGUACCUUCCUUAAAUUCAUUAAUUAAUAAUUAAGUCGGUCGUUGAAGGAAUACUGCAAAACAAUUUAAAUUUUGUGCUACACUGUGAUGGAAGAAAUUUGCUGAAAAUGCAAUAAAAUCGUUGAAAAUACAAUGAAAUCGUCGAAAUGAGAAAUGAAAAUUACUGAAAAGUUGCUGAAAAUAUUUCAUCAUGAAUCAUGAUUUUCAUUAUGAAUUG
This is a long non-coding RNA of Odontomachus brunneus, 2664 nucleotides long. RefSeq lists it as uncharacterized. The transcript is spliced from 3 exons. Lineage: Eukaryota; Metazoa; Arthropoda; Insecta; Hymenoptera; Formicidae. The record is from RefSeq and is a predicted model, not a curated record.